AGAUAUUUCGUUUAUUGAAUUCUCAUAGUCAUCUAUCUCAUGGUCGAAAUCUUCUUCACCAUCGUGAUGAACUAAAUGAGCUUCUAGAUUCUUUUCAAACUCUCUUGAUAGAGAUCAACGAGAUGCUUAGGUGUCCUGCACGUCUUAGUCCAAUGGUUUCCCCAUUCCUCAUCAGUGGCAAACAAGUUUAUUUGAGUGUUGUGGUUUGGGUAUACCGUGGCCUCUACCUCGAUUACGACCAAAGUCGGGUCGGCGGCCUUAACCAUAUGAAUGGUUUCCUUGAUCAUAUAAAUUAUAAUUGCCACUUCUACCACGUCCAUUCCAUUUACCAUGACUGUGGCCAUGAUACUUAUCUCUUUGGA
This 362-nucleotide long non-coding RNA is filed under the name Arabidopsis lyrata. Its description in RNAcentral is "long non-coding RNA (ALYR_LNC001675)". Lineage: Eukaryota; Viridiplantae; Streptophyta; Magnoliopsida; Brassicales; Brassicaceae. The record is from RNAcentral.